Molecule: ribosomal RNA, 414 nt
Filed under: Triticum aestivum (bread wheat)
Lineage: Eukaryota; Viridiplantae; Streptophyta; Magnoliopsida; Poales; Poaceae
Description: partial small subunit ribosomal RNA
Source: RNAcentral
AUGCCAUGGUGCAAACUCAAAUAUGUAAAUAAUGCGUUUCCUUUUUUUUGCUUGUCACUCUUGCUCUUAUCAGGCAAAGAAACAUAUAAAGAACUAAUUAUUGUGGUGGAUCUUGCAUUUCUGAUUAUCCAUUAUCCAUUACUUCUAAAACAGCAGCAGUAUUUUGGGGUUCCCUUUUCUAAGAGCUCCCUUUUCUCACACAUGGAUGCUGACCAUGGUGAACUGCCAAUCACUACUGGAGACGGAACUACCGCUGUCACAGCCUGCUUUAUCAUGGGUGUUGACAAAAGGGCCACCAUCACUAGAGGCUGGAGUGACUUCUUUCGUCAGGCGCACAUGAAGAAAGGUCAAGCAUAUGCUUUCGACUUUAAAUGCACUUCCAAGAGACUGCGCCUGAUCGUCUACUCAAUAUAA